Molecule: ribosomal RNA, 402 nt
Filed under: Caulobacter vibrioides
Lineage: Bacteria; Pseudomonadati; Pseudomonadota; Alphaproteobacteria; Caulobacterales; Caulobacteraceae
Also listed under: 3 other names
Description: partial 16S ribosomal RNA
Rfam family: Bacterial small subunit ribosomal RNA
Source: RNAcentral
UGGGGAAUCUUGCGCAAUGGGCGAAAGCCUGACGCAGCCAUGCCGCGUGUAUGAUGAAGGUCUUAGGAUUGUAAAAUACUUUCACCGGUGAAGAUAAUGACUGUAGCCGGAGAAGAAGCCCCGGCUAACUUCGUGCCAGCAGCCGCGGUAAUACGAAGGGGGCUAGCGUUGCUCGGAAUUACUGGGCGUAAAGGGAGCGUAGGCGGACAUUUAAGUCAGAGGUGAAAUCCCGGAGCUUAACUUCGGAACUGCCUUUGAUACUGGGUGUCUUGAGUGUGAGAGAGGUAUGUGGAACUCCGAGUGUAGAGGUGAAAUUCGUAGAUAUUCGGAAGAACACCAGUGGCGAAGGCGACAUACUGGCUCAUUACUGACGCUGAGGCUCGAAAGCGUGGGGAGCAAACA